UCGCUGGUGGUCUAGUGGUUAUGAUUCAGCACUUUCACUGCUGCAGCCUGGGUUCAAUCCCUGGUCUGGGAA
Molecule: non-coding RNA, 72 nt
Organism: Sus scrofa (pig)
Lineage: Eukaryota; Metazoa; Chordata; Mammalia; Artiodactyla; Suidae
Source: Rfam